UCAUGCUAACAACAUAGUGUUAAUGCAUCAUAUCCUAUUAGAACUCUAUAGUUAAACAUGCUCAAGCUAGAGUAGUACUGGGAUGGAUGACCAACCAUGAAUUCCUAGUGUUUUACAUGCC
Molecule: non-coding RNA, 121 nt
Organism: Picea glauca (white spruce)
Lineage: Eukaryota; Viridiplantae; Streptophyta; Pinopsida; Pinales; Pinaceae
Source: Rfam